Ochotona curzoniae (black-lipped pika) is the source of this 106-nucleotide small nuclear RNA. The record is from RefSeq and is a predicted model, not a curated record. NCBI's taxonomy places the organism in Eukaryota, Metazoa, Chordata, Mammalia, Lagomorpha, Ochotonidae.
GCUCACUUGGGCAGAACAUGCACUAAAAUUGGAAUGAUACAGAGAAGAUUAGCAUGGACCCCUAAGCAAGGAUGACAUGCAAAUUCAUGAAGCGUUCCAUAUUUGG